RNAcentral lists this ribosomal RNA (1676 nucleotides) under Acinetobacter baumannii 45002_4. Its description in RNAcentral is "bacterial LSU rRNA". It matches the Rfam family "Bacterial large subunit ribosomal RNA", at positions 1270 to 2925 of the family's 2925-position model. Lineage: Bacteria; Pseudomonadati; Pseudomonadota; Gammaproteobacteria; Moraxellales; Moraxellaceae. The record is from RNAcentral.
AUGCUGGAGGUAUCAGAAGUGCGAAUGCUGACGUGAGUAACGACAAAACGGGUGAAAAACCCGUUCGCCGAAAGACCAAGGGUUCCAGUCCAACGUUAAUCGGGGCUGGGUGAGUCGACCCCUAAGGCGAGGCCGAAAGGCGUAGUCGAUGGGAAAAUGGUUAAUAUUCCAUUACUUCUGUGUAAUGCGAUGAGAGGACGGAGAAGGCUAAAUCAGCCUGGCGUUGGUUGUCCAGGUGAAAGGAUGUAGGCAUGUAUCUUAGGCAAAUCCGGGGUACUCUAUGCUGAGAUCUGAUAGCAAGCUGUACUUGUACAGCGAAGUGGUUGAUGCCAUGCUUCCAGGAAAAGUCUCUAAGCUUCAGUUACACAGGAAUCGUACCCGAAACCGACACAGGUGGUCAGGUCGAGUAGACCAAGGCGCUUGAGAGAACUCUGCUGAAGGAACUAGGCAAAAUGGUACCGUAACUUCGGGAGAAGGUACGCUGUUGUUGGUGAUGGAACUCGCUUCCUGAGCUGACGACAGCCGCAGAAACCAGGCCGCUGCAACUGUUUAUUAAAAACAUAGCACUCUGCAAACACGAAAGUGGACGUAUAGGGUGUGAUGCCUGCCCGGUGCUGGAAGGUUAAUUGAUGGGGUUAGCGUAAGCGAAGCUCUUGAUCGAAGCCCCAGUAAACGGCGGCCGUAACUAUAACGGUCCUAAGGUAGCGAAAUUCCUUGUCGGGUAAGUUCCGACCUGCACGAAUGGCAUAAUGAUGGCGGCGCUGUCUCCAGCAGAGGCUCAGUGAAAUCGAAAUCGCUGUGAAGAUGCAGUGUACCCGCGGCUAGACGGAAAGACCCCGUGAACCUUUACUGCAGCUUGACACUGAACUUUGACCUUACUUGUGUAGGAUAGGUGGGAGGCUUUGAAGCUGGAACGCUAGUUCCAGUGGAGCCGUCCUUGAAAUACCACCCUGGUAAUGUUGAGGUUCUAACUCUGUCCCGUGAUCCGGGACGAGGACCGUGUCUGGUGGGUAGUUUGACUGGGGCGGUCUCCUCCUAAAGAGUAACGGAGGAGUACGAAGGUGCGCUCAGCGUGGUCGGAAAUCACGCGUAGAGUAUAAAGGCAAAAGCGCGCUUAACUGCGAGACCCACAAGUCGAGCAGGUACGAAAGUAGGUCUUAGUGAUCCGGUGGUUCUGUAUGGAAGGGCCAUCGCUCAACGGAUAAAAGGUACUCUGGGGAUAACAGGCUGAUACCGCCCAAGAGUUCAUAUCGACGGCGGUGUUUGGCACCUCGAUGUCGGCUCAUCUCAUCCUGGGGCUGAAGCAGGUCCCAAGGGUAUGGCUGUUCGCCAUUUAAAGAGGUACGCGAGCUGGGUUUAGAACGUCGUGAGACAGUUCGGUCCCUAUCUACCGUGGGCGCUGGAAAUUUGAGAGGAUCUGCUCCUAGUACGAGAGGACCAGAGUGGACGAACCUCUGGUGUACCGGUUGUGACGCCAGUCGCAUCGCCGGGUAGCUAUGUUCGGAAGGUAUAACCGCUGAAAGCAUCUAAGCGGGAAGCCUACCUCAAGAUAAGAUUUCCCUAGGACUUUAUGUCCUCUAAAGAGCCGUUCGAGACUAGGACGUUGAUAGGUUGGAUGUGGAAGCAUAGUGAUAUGUGAAGCUGACCAAUACUAAUUGCUCGUGAGGCUUGACUAU